RNAcentral lists this ribosomal RNA (367 nucleotides) under uncultured Staphylococcus sp. RNAcentral's name for it is "bacterial SSU rRNA". It matches the Rfam family "Bacterial small subunit ribosomal RNA", at positions 49 to 406 of the family's 1533-position model. The record is from RNAcentral. Lineage: Bacteria; Bacillati; Bacillota; Bacilli; Caryophanales; Staphylococcaceae.
CUAUACAUGCAGUCGAGCGAACAGAUAAGGAGCUUGCUCCUUUGAAGUUAGCGGCGGACGGGUGAGUAACACGUGGGUAACCUACCUAUAAGACUGGGAUAACUUCGGGAAACCGGAGCUAAUACCGGAUAACAUUUAGAACCGCAUGGUUCUAAAGUGAAAGAUGGUUUUGCUAUCACUUAUAGAUGGACCCGCGCCGUAUUAGCUAGUUGGUAAGGUAACGGCUUACCAAGGCGACGAUACGUAGCCGACCUGAGAGGGUGAUCGGCCACACUGGAACUGAGACACGGUCCAGACUCCUACGGGAGGCAGCAGUAGGGAAUCUUCCGCAAUGGGCGAAAGCCUGACGGAGCAACGCCGCGUGAGU